GGCCCGUUAGCUCAGUUGGUAGAGCAAGGGACUCUUAAUCCCUGUGUCAUAGGUUCAAGCCCUAUACGGGUCACCA
This 76-nucleotide transfer RNA is filed under the name Christensenellaceae bacterium. RNAcentral's name for it is "tRNA-Lys". It matches the Rfam family "tRNA". Rfam says of the family: Transfer RNA (tRNA) molecules are approximately 80 nucleotides in length. Their secondary structure includes four short double-helical elements and three loops (D, anti-codon, and T loops). The record is from RNAcentral. Lineage: Bacteria; Bacillati; Bacillota; Clostridia; Christensenellales; Christensenellaceae.